UACUAUUCUACCCACACUCACGCAAUCUUCUCUUCCACAUUUCUCCUUUUUUCUUACCAAACAUACUUUAUAGUGCUAUGGCUGUGCUCUCUUCCUCAAUUUGACUCUCCCCAAAACCCUAAUCGAAAAAAUUUCCUUUCUUCUCUCUCUGUUGUUGUGUUCUAUAUAAGCAUACAUAUAGAUUUAUUGCAUAAUUUUCCUCAAGGAGCGGUGUUGUAUAUUGCUUGCUUCUUUCUCUCUCUCUCUCUCUCUCGCUCGCCAAUUCUCACUAUUAUACAUACACAAAGCUCUCUAUACAUAUAUAGAGAUACAUAUACAUAUAUGUAUAGAUAGAUAGAUAGACGAAUGUGGAAGGAAAAGUGGGGCGGUGGGAGAGGUUGGUUGAUCUAGGGUUUUAAUUUCGUCUGCCUGAUAUUAUGGAGAGAUCCGAUUCCAAGGACUUUCCCGACGCCUCCUCCUCAUCCUCAUCCUCAGCUGCUCCUGCUUCUGCUUCUUCCUUUUCUGAAAAUGCCCUUUUUGAUGCAUCGCAAUACGCCUUUUUCGGCAAAGACAUAGUGGAGGAAGUCGACUUGGGGGGUUUAGAGGAGGAAUAUGAUGAUAUCGCUAGUAUUCCUGUACUUGGGGGAUUUGGCGCCCGUGACGACGAUUUGCAGGAGUACCAUUUGUUUGACAAAGAUGAGGGAUCAGGUUUGGGAUCUUUAUCUGAUAUGGAUGAUCUGGCAACUACAUUUUCAAAGUUGAACAGAGUUGUCACUGGGCCACGACAUCCAGGGGUUAUUGGAGAUCGAGGAUCUGGAUCAUUUUCAAGGGAAAGUUCAUCUGCUGCAGAAUGGGUGCAGGAGUCAGAUUUUCCAGAGUGGCGAGACCAUAUGUCUGACUCAGAGUUUUACCCAGAAGGUAAGAGAUGGUCGUCACAGCCUCAGCUUUCCUCUGGAAAGCCAUUGUAUAGAACAUCUUCCUAUCCACUGCAGCAGCAACAGCUGCAAAGAACAUCAUCGUACCCUCAGCAGCAACCACAGCUGCAACACUUUGCCAGUGAACCUAUUAUUGUGCCCAAGUCUUCUUUCACUUCCUUCCCACCACCUGGUGGCAGAUCUGAACAAGCUUCUCCAAGCGGCUAUUCACCUCACAUGAACAUUUCAUCUCUUGCUAGUGGGUCUCACUCACCCUUCUCAGCACCAAAUGUCUCUCAUUUAUCCAACUCCAAUAUGCAUCUGGCUGGAUUGCCUCAUGGGUUUCCUUAUGGUAGAAAUAUGGCUCAAUUAACUCCCCUGAACGCUCGGUCACAGAACCAGUGGACUGGCCCUGGUAACCUUUUUGAUGGGGGUCAUUCUAACAUGUUAAACAGUUUUUUGUAUCAACAAUUGCCUUUCCAGAAUGGAUUAUUGCCACCACAUUUAAUGUCAACCCAGCAGCAGUUGCAGCAAGCAAGACUUCACCUUUCAGUUCAACCAUCCGUAGCCCAUUUCUCAGCACUUCGAUCUCAGCUUUAUAACAGCUUUCCUUCACCAGCACACCUGAGUAAAUACGGUUUAGCUAAUAUGAAGGAUUCAAGACCCAAAUCAACAAAGAAGGGUAAGCACAAUGUGCGCUUUUCUCAACAAGGCUCAGAUGCUGGUAGCCAGAGGAGUGAUAGUAACUGGCCUCAGUUCAGAUCCAAGUAUAUGACAGCUGAUGAAAUAGAGAGUAUUCUUAAAAUGCAACAUUCUGCAGCCCAUUCCAAUGACCCAUAUGUGGAUGAUUAUUACCACCAAGCUCGUCUUGCAAAGAAAGCAGCCGAAUUGGGGUCAGAGCACCGUUUCUGCCCGGCCCAGACAAGAGAGUCAUCCUCUAGAUCCCGUAAUAGUACAGAAUCACAGCCUCAUCUCCAUGUUGAUGCUCUUGGAAGGGUUUCCUUCUCAUCUGUUCGUAGGCCCCAACCACUCCUUGAAGUUGACCCACCUGCCUCAGCUUGUGGUGAUGGCACUGGAGAACAGAAAACGUCAGAUAAGCCUUUAGAGCAAGAACCGAUGCUUGCAGCCAGAAUUACAAUAGAAGAUGGCCUUUAUCUUCUGCUUGAUGUUGAUGACAUUGACAGGCUUUUACAAUUCAGUCAGCCUCAAGAUGGUGGUGCUCAGCUCAGGCGGAGGCGGCAGGUCCUCCUAGAAGGCUUGGCAGCUUCACUACAGCUUGUUGAUCCACUUGGAAAAAGCGGCAGCUCAGCUGGGCUGGCUCCCAAGGAUGACAUUGUGUUCCUGCGAUUGGUCUCUCUUCCCAAAGGCCGAAAACUAAUUUCCAGGUUCAUUCAACUUCUUUUUCCUGGUGUUGAGCUGGCCCGAAUAGUUUGUAUGGCUAUCUUCCGUCAUCUAAGAUUUUUGUUCGGUGGCCUUCCUUCUGAUUCAGAAGCAGCCGAGACCAUCAUUAAUCUUGCACAAACAGUUUCAGCAUGUGUUAGUGGAAUGGAUCUUAAUUCUCUGAGUGCUUGUCUUGCUGCUGUAGUCUGUUCCUCAGAACAGCCACCUCUCCGACCACUUGGAAGUGCUGCUGGAGAUGGGGCCUCGAUUAUCUUGAAAGCUGUGCUAGAAAGGGCAACUCACUUAUUAACUGAAUCCAAGGCUGCUGGCAACUACAGCAUUCCUAAUCCUGCCCUGUGGCAGGCAUCCUUUGAUGCCUUCUUUGGUCUUCUUACCAAGUAUUGCCUCAGUAAAUAUGAUAGUAUUGUGCAAUCAAUAUUUAACCAGAACCAGCCAGAUGCGGAGAUGAAUGUUCCGGAGGCUGCAAGAGCUGUUAGCAGGGAAAUGCCUGUGGAGCUCUUACGUGCUAGUCUUCCACACACUGAUGAGCGCCAGAGGAAGCUGCUGCUGAACUUUGCUCAGAGAUCCAUGCCGCUGACUGGUUUUAAUGCUCAUGGUGGGAGCAGCGGACAAAUAAAUCCGGAAUCUGUGAAAGGUUAGCUGUGGUGGCAAGGUGCAACAUCAAUGUGGAGGCUGUAAAUCCUUUGUGGAAGUCAUUCUCUGGUUGCUUCCGCUGUUGGGUGCUUUGCUCUUUUAAUGAAAUGAUUGCAAAGCCGAGAGAGAAAUGAGAGGGGUACCAUAAUGCUUUGGUGUCAUUUUUGUGGCCAAGGUUACAACAUGAUAUCCCUCCUUGUCUGCCUUCUCUUUUCCUCUCUCCCCCUUAUCUCUCCCUCUCCCUCUCCUCUCACUUCCCCUCUUCUCUCAGUUUAUUUCCUGCAUACUCUGAUGAACAUAUUGUCGUGAUUAACUGUGUAAUAUGUUGCAAGAUCUUGAAAGGGUUUAGAAACGAAAUCUUUUUUAUCCAGGGAGCCUUAUUUUUAUGCUCUCAUGACCCUCACGAACCCUGCAUAGAUAAGGUUAGAAUGUACAGGCUACUCGUCAAACUUGAAAGUAAUCCUAGCGUUUUCUCGUUUGUUGGCUGAUUCUUCCUCUUUUCGCGAGGGGCUUGAAGGGGUCUCAAGGAAUGAAGAAAGAAGAAUCUUAUUCAUCUGCUGUGCCUGAUUCUAUUGCCAAGAUGAAGGUCGUUUAGUUCUGCCUAGUUUUCAUAGCAUCUGUUUCGAAGAGGCUACGAAGGGUGAGGAGCUCCAAAUUUUGGUGGAAAGCCCUGCCUUCUGACAGUCGGGUUCAGAGCUGAAAGUGGUCCCUAACGUUGUUUCCCUCAUGUUUCAGACAGGGAGAAGGAGAGAGACGGGAGUUGUCCCUUGCUUCUGCGGUGGAAGUUUGUUUCUGUCUGUGACGUGAUAAAAAUUACUAUUAUUGCUUCUACAUGUCGGUUUGUGCUAGUCUUUUUAAGCUGAGUAGUGCGUACCGCUGAAGAAUCGACUCAAACGAUGUAUAUAUAUAUAUAUAUAUCAGCUGAUAUGGUAUGGGAA
Molecule: non-coding RNA, 3865 nt
Organism: Coffea arabica (coffee)
Lineage: Eukaryota; Viridiplantae; Streptophyta; Magnoliopsida; Gentianales; Rubiaceae
Source: RefSeq, a predicted model, not a curated record